Dermacentor andersoni is the source of this 2108-nucleotide long non-coding RNA. RefSeq lists it as uncharacterized. The record is from RefSeq and is a predicted model, not a curated record. NCBI's taxonomy places the organism in Eukaryota, Metazoa, Arthropoda, Arachnida, Ixodida, Ixodidae.
AUUCGGUCGGUACGUGACCGCGGCUUAGUAGAUCAUUUCAAAAGUGAAUUAGCAUCAUUGAAUCUGUGUUGCACAAUCAUUGACGCGGGGCUGCGCGGUAUAUGCGGCUUUUCUUUGUUUUCCUUGCGCAGAACUUUUUUCGUAAUGUUGCAUUACGAUACGACACCGUACGCAAGUUGCUGCCAUACGCAGCUGUAUUAGUACAAUACGAUCAUCAAUCUUUCGCAAGACGCAGCUCACCUCGUGUUGAGCAGCGCGCUGCUACGAUGCGAAAAAUAGGUUUCUCGUUCUCGAAGUAACAUAUGGUACGUGGCUGAAAGAGCGUGCAAAUGCUCACGCAUGGUCUCAUUGUCAUGGUCGUCUUCGAAAUGACCUACUCAUCAAAGCUGUGUAUGGGUAGUUUCCAGCGGGUCGAUGUCCGUAGACCAAAAACCCUGGGCCGACCCCGAGGAUAGUGCUAUACGAGGCCUACCCACGGCAGAGGGGAAGCAGUCUUCAAGCACUAAGUCAGCUUGCAAAAAUAAGUUUAAUAUUUUGGGUCCAAAUGCAACCCGUAUCAGAUAUUAAGCUGAUAGGAACAGAUACUACACUUUGACCUGCAUCGGCGAUUUGCGCACCUACCACUACUGAGGACGAUUACCAGGGCUGGCAAGAUCACUUGGUAGAUCUAAAUAAAGAUCUUCAAAUCAUGAAAUACUGGCUUACAAGGGCAAGCUCUACAGUGUGCUGAAAGAGGCGCAGUGAAGUCCUUCUUCAGGUCAUUAGCAUGCUCCCUCAUUCGGUCAUUGACGCAGUGGCCUGUUUGUCCUACAUAGGACUUUCCACAAGACAGGGGAAUUUCAUAAACCACCCAGAUUGUGGCUCAUCUUAGGCACAUACGGAACAACUUCCGGCCUUAGGUCACUCCGCUCGCCGGCUCUUGCCUCAUUCACUGGAGUGCCCGCUUUUGGCCUCUGUUGCAGGGAUUCGGUCACUCAUGUUGGGACUGAACGAGGUAGCCGGCUUUUGAAAGCCGAAUGAACUGCUUGUAAAAACUGUCCUGCACCUUGUGUCCGCAGGUCCUCUCGAGUGCUAACCCCAGAGUCAAGCUAUAGCUUUUUUGACAAGAUUGGAAUGCGUGGUCCAACACAAUAAAAAAAUCAUCAACGUAUCUAAAACCAUUAAAAAACAGGUGAACCGUGAAGGUUGUUGUCAAGAGUUUUGUAUAUUUCCGACAGGUCUGUCACACAGUAAAGGUACUACGCACGAUCCUAUGCAUAUGCCCUUCUUAAGCAAAGACAACCGGUUGUCACACGUGACAAAAGUGCUCUUCUGGUAGGUCUCAAGUAAAACUAAAAAGUUGUCCACACACAUACCGAUAGUAUUUUGAAAAGAAACAUCCCCGUUAACUUCAACACACUUCCGAACAGCAGUAAAGAACGCGUCGUGGGGCACGAAAUAGAACACGUGUUCAAUAUCAACAGAGAAUGCUUAACCUAGGUUCCGAGUUUUCUGGAAGAAUUUGCUGAUGUCAUCGGAGUUUACAACGGGAAAAUGAUCAUGAAUGUCAAGUUCUUUCAAGCCCUUUAAUAACAACCUACUAACUUGAAGUUGCCAUGUGCCGCACUCGCUUACAAUCGCUGUCAAAGGAACAUCUUACUUGUGGGUCUUUGCUGUAAAGAACAAGCUCAAAGAACCACACGCGCUCUUGUCAACGCUCUUGACGAGCUGCUGCAGCUCGUUCUCUUUAGAAAGUCUCAAAAAAGCCUUCUUAGCUUUCGCAAACUAGUUUUACCAGUGAACAGGAAGCCUCGAGCUUGCUUCUUCCCGACACCGCCCAGGCUGCGGGAGCAGCCGGGGACUUUCUCCAUCGGCGUCGCCGCCGCUGCUAGGCGGCUCUCAAAAGUUCAGAGUUGGCAGAUCAGCUCUGGGCCGCGCGGCAAGCCGAAGAUGCCGCCCAAGUCCAAUGACUUCGAGCCGCCACCUGAAGCCACCACAACAAAAACUGCCGGACCAUUCUUUAAUAAAGCCGUCCGGCAAGCUGAAGAUGCCGCCCGAGUCCAAGGACUUCUAGCCGCCACCUGAGGCCAUCACAACAAAAACUGGCGGACCAUUACUGGCAACUAGAG